UACGUAGGGGGCAAGCGUUGUCCGGAUUUAUUGGGCGUAAAGAGCGUGUAGGCGGCCUGGAAGGUCAGCUGUGAAAACUCGAGGCUCAACCUCGAGACGUCGGUUGAAACCACCUGGCUAGAGUCCGGAAGAGGAGAGUGGAAUUCCCGGUGUAGCAGUGAAAUGCGUAGAGAUCGGGAGGAACAUCAGUUGCGAAGGCGGCUCUCUGGACCAGCACUGACACUGAGGCACGAAGGCGUGGGGAGCAAACAGG
This 253-nucleotide ribosomal RNA is filed under the name uncultured bacterium. Its description in RNAcentral is "partial 16S ribosomal RNA". It matches the Rfam family "Bacterial small subunit ribosomal RNA", at positions 524 to 776 of the family's 1533-position model. The record is from RNAcentral.